This 253-nucleotide ribosomal RNA is filed under the name uncultured bacterium. RNAcentral describes it as "partial 16S ribosomal RNA". It matches the Rfam family "Bacterial small subunit ribosomal RNA", at positions 524 to 776 of the family's 1533-position model. The record is from RNAcentral.
GACGAACCGUGCGACCGUUGUUCGGAAUCACUGGGCUUAAAGGGCGCGUAGGCGGGCACGCAAGUCAGGGGUGAAAUCCUCCGGCUCAACCGGAGAACAGCUUUUGAUACUGCGUGCCUCGAGGGGGGUAGGGGCAUGUGGAACUUCCGGUGGAGCGGUGAAAUGCGUAGAUAUCGGAAGGAACAUCAGUGGCGAAAGCGACUUCCUGGACCAGUACCGACGUUCAGGCACGAAAGCGUGGGGAGCAAACAGG